RNAcentral lists this transfer RNA (66 nucleotides) under Ranina ranina. RNAcentral describes it as "tRNA-Ser". The record is from RNAcentral. Lineage: Eukaryota; Metazoa; Arthropoda; Malacostraca; Decapoda; Raninidae.
GAGAUACUAGGUCAGAAGAGAAGCUUCUAACUUCAAUUCAAGCGGUUAAACUCCGUUUGUGUCUCU